UACACUCCUACGGGAGGCAGCAGUGGGGAAUAUUGGACAAUGGGCGCAAGCCUGAUCCAGCCAUGCCGCGUGAGUGAUGAAGGCCCUAGGGUUGUAAAGCUCUUUCACCGGUGAAGAUAAUGACGGUAACCGGAGAAGAAGCCCCGGCUAACUUCGUGCCGGCAGCCGCGGUAAUACGAAGGGGGCUAGCGUUGUUCGGAUUUACUGGGCGUAAAGCGCACGUAGGCGGACUAUUAAGUCAGGGGUGAAAUCCCGGGGCUCAACCCCGGAACUGCCUUUGAUACUGGUAGUCUUGAGUUCGAGAGAGGUGAGUGGAAUUCCGAGUGUAGAGGUGAAAUUCGUAGAUAUUCGGAGGAACACCAGUGGCGAAGGCGGCUCACUGGCUCGAUACUGACGCUGAGGUGCGAAAGCGUGGGGAGCAAACAGGAUUAGAAACCCGAGUAGUCCCAUG
Molecule: ribosomal RNA, 451 nt
Filed under: uncultured organism
Description: partial 16S ribosomal RNA
Rfam family: Bacterial small subunit ribosomal RNA
Source: RNAcentral